AGUGGCGGACGGGUGAGUAACGCGUGAGAAUCUGCCUUGGGGUCGGGGACAACCACUGGAAACGGUGGCUAAUACCGGAUACGCCUUCGGGUAAAAGAUUUAUUGCCCUAAGAGGAGCUCGCGUCUGAUUAGCUAGUUGGUGAGGUAAGAGCUCACCAAGGCAGCGAUCAGUAGCUGGUCUGAGAGGACGAUCAGCCACACUGGGACUGAGACACGGCCCAGACUCCUACGGGAGGCAGCAGUGGGGAAUUUUCCGCAAUGGGCGAAAGCCUGACGGAGCAAGACCGCGUGAGGGAGGAAGGCUCUUGGGUUGUAAACCUCUUUUCUCAGGGAAGAAGCUCUGACGGUACCUGAGGAAUCAGCCUCGGCUAACUCCGUGCCAGCAGCCGCGGUAAUACGGAGGAGGCAAGCGUUAUCCGGAAUUAUUGGGCGUAAAGCGUCCGCAGGUGGCGAUUCAAGUCUGCUGUCAAAGCACGGGGCUUAACUCCGUAAAGGCAGUGGAAACUGAAUAGCUAGAGUGCCGUAGGGCUAGAGGGAAUUCCCGGUGUAGCGGUGAAAUGCGUAGAGAUCGGGAAGAACAUCGGUGGCGAAAGCGCUCUACUGGACGGCAACUGACACUCAGGGACGAAAGCUAGGGGAGCGAAUGGGAUUAGAUACCCC
RNAcentral lists this ribosomal RNA (660 nucleotides) under uncultured bacterium. RNAcentral describes it as "bacterial SSU rRNA". It matches the Rfam family "Bacterial small subunit ribosomal RNA", at positions 94 to 788 of the family's 1533-position model. The record is from RNAcentral.